RNAcentral lists this ribosomal RNA (859 nucleotides) under uncultured archaeon. Its description in RNAcentral is "bacterial SSU rRNA". It matches the Rfam family "Archaeal small subunit ribosomal RNA", at positions 68 to 910 of the family's 1478-position model. The record is from RNAcentral.
UAUGGCAGGGCGCGGCGUACAGCUCAGUAACACGUAGUUAACCUACCCUCGGGACGGGGACAACCCCGGGAAACUGGGGCUAAUACCCAAUGGGUGAGGAGGCCUGGAAUGGUUCUUCACCGAAAGGAUGUUGAAACACGCUUUCAACCUUGCCCGAGGAUGGGACUGCGUCCGAUCAGGUUGUUGGUGGGGUAACGGCUCACCAAGCCUAUAACCGGUACGGGCCGUGAGAGCGGGAGCCCGGAGAUGGAAUCUGAGACAAAAUUCUAGGCCCUACGGGGCGCAGCAGUCGCGAAAACUCCACAAUGCACGAAAGUGUGAUGGGGCUACCCCGAGUGCCGUCCGCUGAGGAUGGCUUUUCUUCAGUGUAAUAAGCUGGAGGCAAUAAAGGGAGGGCAAGAAUGGUGUCAGCCGCCGCGGUAAAACCAACUCCCUGAGUGGUGGGGAUGAUUAUUGGGCUUAAAGCGUCCGUAGCUGGCUUGGUUAGUUCCGCGUUAAAUCCAGCGACCUAAUCGUUGGGAUGCGGGGGAUACGGUCAGGCUAGGAGGCGGGAGAGGUUAGCGGUACUCCAGGGGUAGGGGUGAAAUCCAGUAAUCCCUGGGGGACCAACAGUGGCGAAGGCUGCUAACCAGAACGCGCUCGACGGUGAGGGACGAAAGCUGGGGGAGCGAACCGGAUUAGAUACCCGGGUAGUCCCAGCUGUAAACGAUGCGGGCUAGCUGUUGGGAUGGCUACGAGCCAUUUCAGUGGCGCAGGGAAACCGUUAAGCCCGCCGCCUGGGAAGUACGAUCGCAAGAUUGAAACUUAAAGGAAUUGGCGGGGGAGCACCACAAGGCGUGAAGCUUGCGGUUCAAUUGGA